GUGAACAUCGUCCAAUGGUAGGAUGCCUAAGCGUCACUUAGGUGACACGGGUUCGAUCCCCGUUGUUCUCG
Non-coding RNA from Physocladia obscura, 71 nucleotides. Lineage: Eukaryota; Fungi; Chytridiomycota; Chytridiomycetes; Chytridiales; Chytriomycetaceae. The record is from the annotation of a GenBank genome assembly.